RNAcentral lists this ribosomal RNA (456 nucleotides) under uncultured Salinisphaera sp. RNAcentral describes it as "bacterial SSU rRNA". It matches the Rfam family "Bacterial small subunit ribosomal RNA", at positions 346 to 795 of the family's 1533-position model. The record is from RNAcentral. Lineage: Bacteria; Pseudomonadati; Pseudomonadota; Gammaproteobacteria; Salinisphaerales; Salinisphaeraceae.
UGGCUGCAGUGGGGAAUAUUGGACAAUGGGCGCAAGCCUGAUCCAGCCAUGCCGCGUGUGUGAAGAAGGCCCUAGGGUUGUAAAGCACUUUAAGUAGGGAAGAAAAAGGUUCGGUUAAUACCCGUGCCCUUGACGGUACCUGCAGAAUAAGCACCGGCUAACUCCGUGCCAGCAGCCGCGGUAAUACGGAGGGUGCAAGCGUUAAUCGGAAUUACUGGGCGUAAAGCGUGCGUAGGCGGUUACGUGUGUCAGAUGUGAAAGCCCUGGGCUCAACCUGGGAAUUGCUUUUGAAACUGCGUAACUAGAGUAUGGUAGAGGAAGAUGGAAUUCCACGUGUAGCGGUGAAAUGCGUAGAUAUGUGGAGGAACACCAAUGGCGAAGGCAGUCUUCUGGGCCAAUACUGACGCUGAGGCACGAAAGCGUGGGGAGCAAACAGGAUUAGAUACCCCUGUAGUC